Molecule: long non-coding RNA, 302 nt
Filed under: Ricinus communis (castor bean)
Lineage: Eukaryota; Viridiplantae; Streptophyta; Magnoliopsida; Malpighiales; Euphorbiaceae
Description: long non-coding RNA (RCOM_LNC001085)
Source: RNAcentral
CUAGCUCUAGGACCCAACUUCCUUUCUUUCUUUCUUCUCUUAUCUUAUAUAUCCCCCCCUAACACCACCCCCACCUAUCUCUCUCUCUCUCUCUACGCUAAGACAGAAACUUUGGUGACCAAAAGCCGGUUAGCUCCUUGCUCCCUUGUGAUUUGGAGCAAAAACAGAAACUACCCACCUGAGUUAAGAGGCCUCAAAUGGAAAGACACAGUGAGAUUUUAUGGAAAGACUUCAAGUGUAGGUAGAGUUAGAGAGGUGUUUGUAGAGUUUAAGAAGAGGUAGACUAGACCAUGCCACCUUCU